Molecule: unclassified non-coding RNA, 492 nt
Filed under: Hevea brasiliensis (rubber tree)
Lineage: Eukaryota; Viridiplantae; Streptophyta; Magnoliopsida; Malpighiales; Euphorbiaceae
Source: RNAcentral
ACCAGGUACUUUUCCUGAUCUCUACGAAGCAAAUAACCACAUUAUUCCUAUCUUAUAUUACAUAUAUCGCGUUGAAGCAAAGAAUAAAAGAAAUUUAGAUGAAAGAAAAGUAAAAAUUUUUGUUUUAAUUAACAAUAGUGAGGAAAACAAAAUGAUUAUGCUUCUCUUCUAUCGUUAUCAUUAGCAAUGAUGAAGAAUACAAUCUAGCUUUAAGAACAUCGAACCACAACAGCCAAUCAAGUAAUCAGACUACAACGAAAAAAAACCCACCAAGAAUCAUCUCUCAAUAACAUCGUUAACUCCAUUAGGUUGCUAAAAUGGCGAAGAAAAAGAAAAGCAAAUUAUCUCUAUAGAAUAUGGCAUUCAUUUCCUAAACGAAUAAAGAACCACUUUAGUCAUUUUAUGAUCAUACUGAAUUAAUCAGGAUUUAUAGAGAAUUGAAAACAAAAUAGAAUCUUUAUGCACAAACCUGAACAUUUUUAUCACCAACAA